Molecule: ribosomal RNA, 1359 nt
Filed under: Ixodes australiensis
Lineage: Eukaryota; Metazoa; Arthropoda; Arachnida; Ixodida; Ixodidae
Description: 16S ribosomal RNA
Source: RNAcentral
UAUUUUAUUUUUAAAAAUUAAAUUUUAAAGAAUUAAUAAUAAAAGAGAUAUUUAAAAAGUAUUAUUUAAAGAAACAAUAAUUUUUUAUUAUACUGAAAGGGAAAAUUGAAAAAUUUAAAAAAUUUAAAAUUUAAUUAGUAUUUUUUUGUUAGUACCUUUUGCAUUAGGGUUAUUUAAAAUAAAUUAAGUAUUUUAUAUUUCCCGAAAUAAUUGUUGAGCUAUUUUAAAUUAUAUGUUGUUUAUUACAAAAACUUUCAUAAAUUUAAUAUAGGAAUGAAAUUUUUUUCAUAAUUUAGGAUAUCUGGUUAUUAAUAAUAAAACUUUAUGUUUUUCUAUAAAAUUGUUAUACUAAUUUUAUUUUAUAGAAAUUUAAAUUAGGGAUUAGCUUGAUUUAUAAAUUUAUAUUAAAUUAAAAGGUAAAUUUUAUGAAAGGAAUAUAAUUGUCUAUGUUUUUUUAUAAAAGUGUAUGUUUUAUAAUAUUAUUUAUUAUAUAAUUAAAUUGGUUUAAUAAUAUAUUUAAUAUAGAAAUAUGUAUAAAUAUGAAUAAAUUAGUAUAAAAUAAAAAAUAAAAUUAGUAAGAUAAUUAAAUAAAUUAAAAAUUAAUAGUUAAUUAAUAAAAAGGAAUUCGGCAAAUAUAUAAGUUGACUGUUUAUCAAAAACAUUUCAUUUUGUUUUUAUAAAAUGUAUAAUCUGCUCAAUGAGAAUUUAAAUUGCUGUGGUAUUUUGACUAUACGAAGGUAUUGAAAUAAGACUUUUAAUGAGUGCUAAGAGAAUGGUUGGACAAUUUAUAACUGUCUUUUUUAUUUAAAAUUAAAAUUUAAUUUUUUUGUGCAAAAGCAAAAAUUUAUUUAAGGGACAAGAAGACCCUAUGAAUUUUUAAUUUUUUUUAUUGUUUUAAAAAACAAUAAAAAAAUUUAGUUGGGGCGAUUAAAAAAGAAUAAAAAUCUUUUUCUAAUUAAAAAAUUGAUCCAUUUGUUAGUGAAAAUUUGAAAAAAAUACUCUAGGGAUAACAGCGUUAUAAUUUUGGAUAGCACAUAUUGAUAAAAUUGAUUGCGACCUCGAUGUUGGAUUAGGAUUCUUUUUAAAAUGAAGAAGUUUAAAAAAGAAGUUUGUUCAACUUUUAAAAUCCUACAUGAUCUGAGUUCAGACCGGCGUAAGCCAGGUUGGUUUCUAUCUUUAAAUUAAAUUUCUUUAAUUAGUACGAAAGGAAUAUUAAAGAGUAAUAAUUAUUUUAAAUUUAUUCAUAAAAAAAAUAAAAAUUAGAUAUUAUAAUUGUUUCAAUUAAAGAAAUUUAAUUUAAAGAUAGAAACCAACCUGGCUUACGCCGGUCUGAACUCAGAUCAUGUAGGAUUUUAAAAG